Priapulus caudatus is the source of this 161-nucleotide long non-coding RNA. RefSeq lists it as uncharacterized. Lineage: Eukaryota; Metazoa; Priapulida; Priapulimorpha; Priapulimorphida; Priapulidae. The record is from RefSeq and is a predicted model, not a curated record. The transcript has 4 exons.
CAGUGUGUUUGUGUAGCUAGCAGCAGCCCAGUCAGAUGUUAGUGUGUUAGUGUGUUGGGCCGAUCGCGAUAUUAGUUCCGGCGUCCGAGUCAAGCGUGUACAUGUUGAGCCGAGCAGCCGCAGCAACGAGGCGGCUGCUACGACUUAAUGUCGGGCUGGCG